GCAGAUACUGAUAUGAAGAAGAACAUUGUGCUGCAAUGUGCACCAUAAUAAGCCACUAGAUUUGGGCCUUGGAUUAAUGGAACGUAGCGUUUUGUUGGCCAAAGUUGAAGAGAUCUGAUGGAAGAAUACUCCGAGGAAGAGGACCGAUAGGUGCGAUACGUACACGAUUGGAGUCCUCGAAGCUCCUCCAGAGAUGUACGCAGCGGAAUAACAAAGAAAAGAUGUUAGAAACCCUAAUUAAAACAAGAGAAUCGAAAUCGAACGGGGAAAAGCCCUAAAAAUGGAGUAAGAACCCUAAACUGACCAAUGAAACCCUAGAAAUGGGGAAAAGCACAAAAUGAACCAAUUAAUUGGUCCAAAACUACUAUUGAACGGUGAAAAAGGAAUAAUGUUCGGUGAAAAGGCUUUUGAUCGGAAGAAAUUAGGUUUCAAUCGGCCAAAACCAUGGGAAAUGAUGAAGAGGAUGAAGAUCAGUGAAGAGAAACGAGCUUACAGUGAUGAGGAGGUGUAGAUUUGUGAAGAAAUUGACAGACCAACGAGGAACUCCUGAGAGAGAGAGCGAUGAAGCUACGCUUGAGAGAAAACCUAAUGUGAGGUUUCUGAGAUAUGGAAAAUGUGAGAAAUGAGCUUCUGUUGAAGGAUGCGAGAAUGAAGUGCAAUGAACGAAGAAAGAGGCUGACGCGUGGAUGUAGGAGGUGUCAGCGAGGGAAUGGUUGACGUCGUACGGUGGCAGCGUCUGGUGAGAGAAAAGCACAAUGGGUAAGUGGAAAAAUGAAAAAAAUGAAGUGUGCUUGGAAGGUGGCUAGAGGGAGUCUUUGGACUCUCUGGCCUUGUGACUUUCAAGAGAGAAUUAUUUUCUGAUUUAGAAAACCAAAUUCUCAUUAAUCUCAAAAGUGAUUAGUACAAGUGAGGAGUUGGAUAUUAUAGUGACCCAUGCUCCUUGCAAGCUACAGUACAGAUACAAUAAAAUGUAAAAAGAUGACUACAUGAGACAGGAUUCCAUCAAGAUCUUUCUUGAGCUUCAUUCUGCGCACAGAGGUUCAAAUUGAUUUUGUGGUUUUCCCCAAUUCUCUCAACCCUCGCUAGGGUUCGUGCAACUUCGAGAAACUUUCAAGAGGGAGCUCCGUGAUGCGCGAUAGAAGGUAAUCAGAGUCUUCUCGGCCCAAAGGAAGCCAACCCAAGAUGUUGAUCGGUCUGAUGAGCUAUGCUGAGCUGGAUUGUCGGUUGAAGAGCGAAGCGACAAAAAGUUUGUUGAAGAUCAAUCGAGAAGCUUUUGAGUUAGUUAUCGGUUCCUUCCCCCUUUCCCCC
RNAcentral lists this long non-coding RNA (1308 nucleotides) under Vigna radiata. RNAcentral describes it as "long non-coding RNA (VRAD_LNC010242)". The record is from RNAcentral. Lineage: Eukaryota; Viridiplantae; Streptophyta; Magnoliopsida; Fabales; Fabaceae.